GGACUCGCACAAGCGGUGGAGCAUGCGGUUUAAUUCGAUGCAACGCGAAAAACCUUACCAGGUCUUGACAUCCCGGUGACCGGACUAGAGAUAGUUCUUCCCUUCGGGGCACUGGAGACAGGUGGUGCAUGGUUGUCGUCAGCUCGUGUCGUGAGAUGUUGGGUUAAGUCCCACAACGAGCGCAACCCUUAUCAUUAGUUGCUAACAUUAAGUUGAGAACUCUAAUGAGACCGCCGGUGAUAAACCGGAUGAAGGUGGGGAUGACGUCAAAUCAUCAUGCCCUUUAUGACCUGGGCUACACGCGUGCUACAAUGGCUGGUACAAAGAGUCGCAAAACCGCGAGGUUGAGCAAAUCUCAUAAAACCAGUCUCAGUUCGGAUUGUAGUCUGCAACUCGACUACAUGAAGUUGGAAUCGCUAGUAAUCGCAAAUCAGCAUGUUGCGGUGAAUACGUUCUCGAGUCUU
RNAcentral lists this ribosomal RNA (464 nucleotides) under uncultured bacterium. RNAcentral describes it as "bacterial SSU rRNA". It matches the Rfam family "Bacterial small subunit ribosomal RNA", at positions 917 to 1382 of the family's 1533-position model. The record is from RNAcentral.